Pocillopora verrucosa is the source of this 457-nucleotide non-coding RNA. NCBI's taxonomy places the organism in Eukaryota, Metazoa, Cnidaria, Anthozoa, Scleractinia, Pocilloporidae. The record is from RefSeq and is a predicted model, not a curated record.
GGAAAUUUGAAUUGAUCCCUUUGCAGGCAAGAGAUAAGUUGGUAUCUAUCAGACACACACAACUUCACUUGAAAUGGAAAAUGAUCCAAGACUCACAACAUAUUUGGAGGAUGCCCAGAAAAGGAAAGAACAGGAACAAGCCAACUAUGUGCAAAAAAUAACUUCAUUUAGAGAAGAAGCUCAACAAACACUGGCCAAAAGAAAGGUUGAGAGAUUAAAGGUGAGGUGACCCUUUUUGCCACUGGAUGUGCAAAGCAAAUAGCAUCUAAUUUCUUCUUACAAUAUCACCCUGAAUCACAAAUCAAGGCCAAGAGAAAAGAGGAAAAGAAGCUUCUGAUUGUUAAACAAAUUCUCCUUGUGAGCACCUUAAGAAAUUUUUAGAGAAGAGUAUGGAGAAUAUUAAAAGUGAUGUUAGGGUGUAAUGGGUUUAAGAUGGAGGACGGAUUGAGAAUCUUUU